CACCCUCUCCUCUUCCUCCCGCCUCGCCUCUCUCCCUCCCUCCAAACCCUAGAGCCGCCCGCGCCUCCCUACUACGCCGCCGUCCAGGUCCAGCCCCACGUCGCCGUCAUCUCCUUCGCCCAGCCGGCCGCCGCUGCACCGCACGCCCGUGCCGUCUUCCGGUGCCACGACGCGCAGCCGACCGGGACCGCGGGCGAGGGAGGGAGGCCUCGCCCCCCUCGAUCUGGAUGGGGUCGCAGCCUGCCUACACCACCGCCAGCCAGCCGCCGCGGCGCGCCUUGCCGGCCGGCGCCUCCGCUGCCCCGCCGUCCAGGUCCAGCCCCACUCCCCCGGCACUCCUCCUACGUCCUCUGCAGGGCUGUUCACCGUGGCCGCAUCAGGCGCGGGCGCAGCCGCAGGCGGAGCAGCAGCAACAGGUGAGGCUGUACACGGCGGAAGGGGAACAGGCGGGAUACACGGCCAAGUGGGAGGAGCUCCAUCCGGUUUCGCAGCACCUUCUCCUGCAAAUCGAGGACAAGAUAAGGGAUGAGAGGCAUGUGUGUGAGCAGGUGGCACAAUAACUGGAUGCUCGUCAGACUACCUAGGAUAUCAGAUUUAUGAGCUUUUGUUAUUUGAUGCAAUUUCAAAAAGUAUCGGUAAGGUAAAAAUGAUCUACAAGCUUAUUGCAUUCAAAAGUAGUUAUCACAAGAAGAAGCAUGAGACACUAGCAGCAUGCCUCGCUUCUGUGGGCAACAGCAAAAACAGGGCGAAACAGAGCAAGCACAAAAAAGAAUACAAAUGCUACAUACAACCAAUGGGGUCCUUCUGCCUCAUCAAGGAUCUCUUCUGCCCUACCCCGUUGUUGUCAACUGAUCAAUACAAGCAGCCACCUCCAUGCACAAUUGCCGCAGCCUGCAGGAUGAGCCGAGCAUUUGGAGAAAAACUGUAUGUGAAUACAUCACCGAAGUGAAGGUAUAUGCAUAUACAAUAUGUAGAAUGCUGCUUGAUCUCCUGUUAGAGCAGCAUGGGCUGUCACCGUUCGUUUCAACACCAUUUGGAGAAAAACUUUAUGUGAAUAGGAGACAAAGUCAAGCAUGAAAGCAUGAUGUGUUUGCACAUGUGGUUUUCAUGGGGCAAAUGAUGCCACAUUGAAUAUCCUUUGGCCCCAAUAACUUCCAAAUGAGGUGUCAUACCACUAGCUACUGUGAUGUGUUAUGCGAGAUGUUGUCUGAUUGUCCUCGCCUUUUGUUAAAGGGCACUGCUCCAAGAAUUAUUUGUCAUUCUUCAUGUUGACUACUAUAUAUUAGUUACAUUGAUGCAUCGC
Long non-coding RNA from Triticum dicoccoides, 1303 nucleotides. RefSeq lists it as uncharacterized. The record is from RefSeq and is a predicted model, not a curated record. NCBI's taxonomy places the organism in Eukaryota, Viridiplantae, Streptophyta, Magnoliopsida, Poales, Poaceae. The transcript has 6 exons.